Molecule: ribosomal RNA, 417 nt
Filed under: Parmotrema arnoldii
Lineage: Eukaryota; Fungi; Ascomycota; Lecanoromycetes; Lecanorales; Parmeliaceae
Also listed under: 2 other names
Description: eukaryotic LSU rRNA
Rfam family: Eukaryotic large subunit ribosomal RNA
Source: RNAcentral
AUUGACCUCGGAUCAGGUAGGGAUACCCGCUGAACUUAAGCAUAUCAAUAAGCGGAGGAAAAGAAACCAACAGGGAUUGCCUUAGUAACGGCGAGUGAAGCGGCAACAGCUCAAAUUUGAAAUCUGGCUCCUCCGGGGUCCGAGUUGUAAUUUGUAGAGAGUGCUUCGGGGGAGACUGCGGUCUAAGUCCAUUGGAACAUGGUGUCAUAGAGGGUGAGAAUCCCGUAUGUGACCGCGGAUCGAACCCAUGUGAAGCCUCUUCGACGAGUCGAGUUGUUUGGGAAUGCAGCUCAAAAUGGGUGGUAAAUUUCAUCUAAAGCUAAAUACUGGCUGGAGACCGAUAGCGCACAAGUAGAGUGAUCGAAAGAUGAAAAGCACUUUGGAAAGAGAGUUAAACAGUACGUGAAAUUGUUGAAA